Molecule: ribosomal RNA, 478 nt
Filed under: uncultured bacterium
Lineage: Bacteria
Description: partial 16S ribosomal RNA
Rfam family: Bacterial small subunit ribosomal RNA
Source: RNAcentral
GAUGAACGCUGGCGGCGUGCUUAACACAUGCAAGUCGAACGGGAAACCUUUUAUUGAAGCUUCGGCAGAUUUAGCUGGUUUCUAGUGGCGGACGGGUGAGUAACGCGUGGGUAACCUGCCUUAUACAGGGGGAUAACAACCAGAAAUGGUUGCUAAUACCGCAUAAGCGCACAGGACCGCAUGGUCCGGUGUGAAAAACUCCGGUGGUAUAAGAUGGACCCGCGUUGGAUUAGCUAGUUGGCAGGGUAACGGCCUACCAAGGCGACGAUCCAUAGCCGGCCUGAGAGGGUGAACGGCCACAUUGGGACUGAGACACGGCCCAGACUCCUACGGGAGGCAGCAGUGGGGAAUAUUGCACAAUGGGGGAAACCCUGAUGCAGCGACGCCGCGUGAAGGAAGAAGUAUCGCGGUAUGUAAACUUCUAUCAGCAGGGAAGAUAGUGACGGUACCUGACUAAGAAGCCCCGGCUAACUACGUG